CCGUGCAGCCGGGGAGGUAGCGGGGCCCUGUACCUGCAAUCCGCUAUAGCAGGGGUGAUAUCUGCCCGAGGCUUUUCUUCGUAAGGUCUGCCCUUUAUAAGUGGCGAUGAGAGUUGGGUCUUACGCAACAAGAAUUUGUGAACCGUGUCAGGUCCGGAAGGAAGCAGCACUAAACAAAACCUCUUGUGUGCCGUAAGGGUGCCUGACUUGAGUUAACUGUAAAGGUAACGCUUGGGAAGCACUGUCGACGGUAGAUGCACGG
This 262-nucleotide signal recognition particle RNA is filed under the name Candidatus Epulonipiscium sp. RNAcentral describes it as "signal recognition particle sRNA large type". It matches the Rfam family "Bacterial large signal recognition particle RNA". Rfam says of the family: The signal recognition particle (SRP) is a universally conserved ribonucleoprotein involved in the co-translational targeting of proteins to membranes. Archaeal SRP consists of a 7S RNA and homologues of the eukaryotic SRP19 and SRP54 proteins. In most bacteria, the SRP consists of a 4.5S RNA and the Ffh protein (a homologue of the eukaryotic SRP54 protein). Lineage: Bacteria; Bacillati; Bacillota; Clostridia; Lachnospirales; Lachnospiraceae. The record is from RNAcentral.